RNAcentral lists this transfer RNA (62 nucleotides) under Trigonopterus carinirostris. RNAcentral's name for it is "tRNA-Leu". Lineage: Eukaryota; Metazoa; Arthropoda; Insecta; Coleoptera; Curculionidae. The record is from RNAcentral.
UCUAAUAUGGCAGAUUAGUGCAUUGGACUUAAGCCCCAAUAAUAAAAUUAUUUUUUUUAGAA